UUGCAGUUUAAAGCUAGCUAGCCCGCUAUAUAUAUAUAUAUAUUUUUUUUAACCCAUCAAAUCUUUUGAAAAAAAAUACAAAGUAACUUUCGAAUUUUGAAAAAAAAAAUGGUUAUUUAAAAGUAGGUAAUCUGUGAAAUUUUAGAUAUUAUAUCGUCCGAGAGACUAAUCGUCGGAGCAAUGUUGUUUUUGAGGUCACAUGGGAUAAUGCAGACAGCAAGAAAGAGACAAUUGUAAGUGGAGAGACACAAAUAAAAUAGGACUAAAGAAUGUUGUCGACUGAUCUAUCUUUAAGACUUGGAAUGGGUUAUCUCAUUCUGCAAAUCCAGUUCCAUCACGUGUGUAUACUAUAAUGUUUUUUGAUAAAGAUGUAUACUAUAAUGUUAUUUCAUUAAUUUUAACUUUGUAGACGAUCACCAAAAUUAAAGCAGUAGACUCUUUAAGAUUACUUUAGAAAAUAAUUAAAUAACUUAUUCAUCAUUGAAGCGAAAAGAAGAUAAG
RNAcentral lists this long non-coding RNA (501 nucleotides) under Arabidopsis lyrata. RNAcentral's name for it is "long non-coding RNA (ALYR_LNC000328)". Lineage: Eukaryota; Viridiplantae; Streptophyta; Magnoliopsida; Brassicales; Brassicaceae. The record is from RNAcentral.